GUAGGCAUAGUUUAUCAAAAACACUAGAUUGUGAAUCUAGAAACAGGAUAUCAAAAAUCCUUGCCAACC
This 69-nucleotide transfer RNA is filed under the name Choloepus hoffmanni (Hoffmann's two-fingered sloth). Its description in RNAcentral is "tRNA-His". It matches the Rfam family "tRNA". From Rfam's summary of the family: Transfer RNA (tRNA) molecules are approximately 80 nucleotides in length. Their secondary structure includes four short double-helical elements and three loops (D, anti-codon, and T loops). Lineage: Eukaryota; Metazoa; Chordata; Mammalia; Pilosa; Megalonychidae. The record is from RNAcentral.